GAUGAACGCUGGCGGCGUGCCUAAUACAUGCAAGUCGAGCGAACAGAUAAGGAGCUUGCUCCUUUGACGUUAGCGGCGGACGGGUGAGUAACACGUGGGUAACCUACCUAUAAGACUGGAAUAACUCCGGGAAACCGGGGCUAAUGCCGGAUAACAUUUAGAACCGCAUGGUUCUAAAGUGAAAGAUGGUUUUGCUAUCACUUAUAGAUGGACCCGCGCCGUAUUAGCUAGUUGGUAAGGUAGCGGCUUACCAAGGCAACGAUACGUAGCCGACCUGAGAGGGUGAUCGGCCACACUGGAACUGAGACACGGUCCAGACUCCUACGGGAGGCAGCAGUAGGGAAUCUUCCGCAAUGGGCGAAAGCCUGACGGAGCAACGCCGCGUGAGUGAUGAAGGUCUUCGGAUCGUAAAACUCUGUUAUUAGGGAAGAACAAAUGUGUAAGUAACUGUGCACGUCUUGACGGUACCUAAUCAGAAAGCCACGGCUAACUACGUG
Molecule: ribosomal RNA, 497 nt
Filed under: uncultured bacterium
Lineage: Bacteria
Description: partial 16S ribosomal RNA
Rfam family: Bacterial small subunit ribosomal RNA
Source: RNAcentral